RNAcentral lists this unclassified non-coding RNA (205 nucleotides) under Hevea brasiliensis (rubber tree). Lineage: Eukaryota; Viridiplantae; Streptophyta; Magnoliopsida; Malpighiales; Euphorbiaceae. The record is from RNAcentral.
UGUUUAUCAUUUUCUCCAUUAGCUGAUUCAUUCCCUCCCAACUUUUUGUUCACUCGAAAGAUGGGAACCAAAGACCCCGAAAGUUUGUUUUUUGGUAUAACAAACCCAGUCUUUGCAGCAAACAUGGAUACCUUUUGGCUUCCCACAGGUGCAGCAGAAGAAAUAGUUGCUCCAGACAUCUUCACAUUUUUAGAUUCAAUAUGAG